UUUCGUUCAAGUUUUCUGCCCUCUCUGUGAAAUAGCUUUAGAGACUCUAUGAGCCAGUUACAUUGGUGGUGCCUUCUUCAGAAGAACCCUGGUGGGACUAUUUCACUGCGAAGCACGUUGGAAGUGACUCGAGUUCAGGAGACAGCAGGGAAGGAGCUGGCAGGAGAGCUGCUUCACCCGUGUUGGUUAUACUUUCCAGUGUAUCUCCUUGCUGUUCACCAUGAGCUGGUGCUGUUGCUCACCCUCUGAUCAGCCAGGCAGGUGCAGAUGUCUGAUGACUUGGAAAGCUGGAAUGGAUGUCAUUAAGAUUUUAACUGUCUAGAAAGUCAUGUAAAUAGGUUGGGUAGACCAUAAAGCCUGGUUAGUAGCAGAGUACAUUUCUACAUUCAGGCUGUCAAUUUUGCCUCUCCUCAGAAAGAGGAGUUCCCUGCCUGACCUUGAUGAAUGCAGGGUGACAGACAACGGAAGCAGGAAGAGCUAUCCUAAAGACAACCUUGGACUGCAGCGAAGACUAUUUCUUCAGAAAACCUGGUGUUCAUUGCAGUUCCUGUGCUCCCAGUAAAUGCACGUGCACGUGCCUGGGAAAAAGGCAGCCGAUCUGUCAGCUGUAACCCAUCAGAUAGAGAGCCUGGUGCUGGGUGCUCUUGUUGGAAUCUUCUAAAGGCAAAGGAGAGGCUGCUGAUGCUUACAUGGAAGAAGGCAGCAGCCUAGGCAUUACUAAGUUAUACACUGAAAAAA
Anas platyrhynchos (mallard) is the source of this 738-nucleotide non-coding RNA. Lineage: Eukaryota; Metazoa; Chordata; Aves; Anseriformes; Anatidae. The record is from RefSeq and is a predicted model, not a curated record.